This 615-nucleotide long non-coding RNA is filed under the name Homo sapiens (human). RNAcentral describes it as "non-protein coding lnc-FAM50B-11:1". The record is from RNAcentral. Lineage: Eukaryota; Metazoa; Chordata; Mammalia; Primates; Hominidae.
CCUAUGAGUGAGAACAUGUGGUGUUUGGUUUUCUGUCCUUGUGAUAGUUUGCUGACAAUGAUGGUUUCCAGCUUCAUCCAUGUCCCUGCUAAGGACAUGAACUCAUCCUUUUUUAUGGCUGCAUAGUAUUCCAUGGUAUAUAUGUCCCACAUUUUCUUUAUCCAGUCUAUCAUUGAUGGACAUUUGGGUUGGUUCCAAGUCUUUGCUAUUGUGAAUAGUGCCACAAUAAACAUACGGGUGCACGCUCUGUUCUGUUCCAUUGGUCUAUAUCUCUGUUUUGGUACCAGUACCAUGCUGUUUUGGUUACUGUAGCCUUGUAGUAUAGUUUGAAGUCAGGUAGUGUGAUGCCUCCAGCUUUGUUCUUUUUGCUUACUACACACUGCUUUAAAUGUGUCCCAGAGAUUCCGGUACAUUGUGUCUUUGUUCUCAUUGGUUUCAAAGAACAUCUUUACUUCUGCCUUCAUUUCAUUAUUUACCCAGUAGUCAUUCAGGAGCAGGUUGUUCAGUUUCUAUGUACUUGUGCGGUUUUGAGUGAGUUUCUUAAUCCUGAGUUCUAAUUUGAUUGCACUGUGGUCUGAGAGACAGUUUGUUGUGAUUUCUGUUCUUUUACAUUUG